Molecule: ribosomal RNA, 397 nt
Filed under: uncultured prokaryote
Description: bacterial SSU rRNA
Rfam family: Bacterial small subunit ribosomal RNA
Source: RNAcentral
UGGGGAAUUUUCCGCAAUGGGCGCAAGCCUGACGGAGCAAUACCGCGUGAGGGAGGAAGGCUUUUGGGUUGUAAACCUCUUUUCUCAAGGAAGAAGACAGUGACGGUACUUGAGGAAUCAGCAUCGGCUAACUCCGUGCCAGCAGCCGCGGUAAUACGGAGGAUGCAAGCGUUAUCCGGAAUCAUUGGGCGUAAAGCGUCCGCAGGUGGCCUGUCAAGUCUGCUGUCAAAGACUAGAGCUCAACUCUGGAAAGGCAGUGGAAACUGGGAGGCUAGAGUACGGUAGGGGUAGGGGAAUUUCCAGUGUAGCGGUGAAAUGCGUAGAGAUUGGAAAGAACACCAGUGGCGAAGGCGCUCUACUGGACCUGUACUGACACUAAGGGACGAAAGCUAGGGGA